This is a long non-coding RNA of Passer domesticus (house sparrow), 2549 nucleotides long. RefSeq lists it as uncharacterized. The record is from RefSeq and is a predicted model, not a curated record. Lineage: Eukaryota; Metazoa; Chordata; Aves; Passeriformes; Passeridae. The transcript has 3 exons.
GCCCGAGUGGCCAGCUGCCUGCUGAGGUUCUUCACGGCGCAGGAUGCCCCCCAGACCCAAGCUCCCUCCACAGCCUAUCCGGGCUGCUUUUAGUGUCCCAAGCACCUCCUGCAUACUGACAUCAGGACCCUUAGUUGAAGCAGAAGGAUAAGGAGGCAAUUCUACCUCAAUUUCUUUAUCAACUGGAUCAAGAUGUAUAUAUAUUCUUCUGCAACCAUAUUUCACGGAAAAAAAAUCUUCAGCUGUAAAUAGCAAAGUGCAUUUCAGGGAUUAGCUCUACUUGAUUCCUAGCUGCUGAGUGAUUAACCCAGGGGAGUCCAUCUGCAAACCCUACAAGCUAGCUGGGUUACAUUCCCUCAUGCUUCCAGCUCCACUGACUGUGUUUUUACCAUGCUGCCAGGGUGGAUUCCAGCUGCUCACCUCGGUGGUGAGGAAGAUGGAUUUAUGUUCUCAAUGCUAGCUCAAGGCUGCGCUGACAGAACACUGAGCACAGGUCACAGCUGCUCUGGACCUGGGUCAGCCCCACGUCCUCCCUGUGAAUCUGCCUCUGGGUCAUCUUCAUGCAGCCACUGGAGGACAGACAAGUCAGCUUCCCAGAAGAUACCAAGACCUGCAGUGUGGGAAAGGUGAGGAGGCCGUCCAUGGGACAUGGCAUGCAGGCUAUAAUCCACCUCAUCAGCUGCUUGGUGGAAAUGUCUCAAAGAUACUGCAGCAAACCACCUGAUUUUCUGGUUUACCAAGCUAUCUUCAAUGAUUGCAGGGGACUAAAUGCAAAGGGAUUAAGGAAAAAAAGCCUUUAGGAAAAUUAAAGAAAGUUUCAAAGCAGUGUCAACAUGCAUCUAUUGUGCAUGUUGCACUUACAUGUGGGAAGUGCUAGGAGUUAAUUUUUGAAUGCUAAAGUCAUUAAAACAGCAGCUCUGGAAUUAGCUUCCUAUGUAAGGUAGUACUGUAAAUAACAUCCCUUUUGCAUGGGCAGAUUGUCACUUUCUGCAGUGACAUGUUAACAGUUUUUAGUGGCAGUACAGGCAAUGUCUGAAGUCCUUUAACUAACAGGACCCUAUUAAUUUAUUGGAUUUAUGGUUUAGCCAUGCAAUUGCUUCAUGUUCUACAAAAAGACAUUACAUUUUGCAAUCUACACAACCCACAAGUGUCUGAUGUCUUCCUAGUGUUUCCCUCUAUCAGUCAGUCAUAGAAAAAGCACAAGAGAAUUUGAGUGGAACAGGGUCCUGGAUCUGAGCUGGAGAGAAGGCAGCCAAAGGAGAGAAAUAAAGGAACAGUGGGACAUGAGGGAACUGUGUGAUAUUACUGCUUGUAGCGAGGUUUACGAGGUUUGGAAGGAAAGAAAUCCUGAAAAAACUACUAUGGGGAACAUUGGAAUGCCAGUAAGAGCAGCAGUCCAAGGAAAGCAAGACCAAGACUACAGAAAUGAACUGAGACAAAGACACUCAAAUCAUCAGAGGCAAAUGCACAGUAAGUAAGUAAUAAGUAAGUAAUGCUAGGGUGACAGUUCACUCUGCAUAUUUAUAUUUCUCUUCACUUUGUAUUCACAGAGCUCUUUGAAAUGCAGGAGUAAGUUUCUGAGAGGCUUAAAGGAUUUAGCCAUCUAGCUAAAAUAAACAAAACACUCCUGUCUGCUGGAGGAGCAGUAGAUAAGACUAGUUACAAGAAAUGCUUAAAGUAGUUGUUACAAAGAGAAAAACAUCUAAUAGAAACAAAAAAACCCAAACGCCAAGCCCAAUAAAACAAAAAAACAAAGAGCAAUAACAAAAAAUUAAAAAAAAAAAAAACAAAACAAAAACCCACCCAUUAAUCUGUGCCUUCCUUGUUAAUUUUAAGUAUGUGAGUAUUGCUACCACUCCACCUGUUCUGUGGGGCUUGGUGUCCCAACAGGAGAAAUGAAACACUUGAAAGACAGAAACACAAGAAGGACUUGGGAGAAACCAUUCAAAAGGGUAUUCCUCAUUAUUCAAGCUGUCCCUUCCAGUCACUUUUUUGUGCUCUUGCUGCUGGGAAUGAUCAGCUGCAGCUUUGAAACACGGGAGUGCUCAACAUCAAACAACCAGACCACAUGGACACGUCCCAGAUAUUACCACAUCACUAUAUUACACAAAAAGUCAAAAAAGUUUAUUGCCCCUCCUCACUUAAACCAUUAUCUCUGCCCUCCAUGUUUCCAAAAAAGGGUUGGUGGAAAGGAUUAGCAGUGCCAAAAAUAUUUCUCAUCCAGAAAAUACAGAAGAGAGUUUGAACUCAGACAAUCCCCACUUGAUAUUUUUGCUUGUUACAAGCUGGCAAGUAGUUGAAAUUUUAGAUGGCAAAAACCCAAGAGAUAUUUGGAGAUUAAUCAAUACAAUGAAUUCAUCUCAUGAGAAGGUUGAAGAAUGGAGGAGAAAUAGAUGCUAUACAAGCAGAACCAAGAGAACAAUGAUAUGGAUGCAGGUAGAAGUCUCUCCUGUGAUUCUGUGAACGGAUUAUUUGCUGCACUAUUGCCUGGUCUCUAACAGAAGGAACACAUUCAUUUUUCAAUACUAUGCUCAGGAGUAUGAAGAAAA